This 96-nucleotide signal recognition particle RNA is filed under the name Saprospiraceae bacterium. Its description in RNAcentral is "signal recognition particle sRNA small type". It matches the Rfam family "Bacteroidales small SRP", at positions 10 to 101 of the family's 107-position model. From Rfam's summary of the family: The non-coding component of the signal recognition particle in Bacteroides Lineage: Bacteria; Pseudomonadati; Bacteroidota; Saprospiria; Saprospirales; Saprospiraceae. The record is from RNAcentral.
GGUGAGGGUCGUAUGGCUAGCUCCUCCUGAACUCCCCCAGGGCAGAAAUGCAGCAAGGGUAGGGGGUUGAGCGGUUCGAUACGAUUCCUCACUACU